CUUAGGAAUCUACCUAGUAGUGGGGGAUAGCACGGGGAAACUCGUAUUAAUACCGCAUACGACCUACGGGAGAAAGGGGGCAGUUUACUGCUCUCGCUAUUAGAUGAGCCUAAGUCGGAUUAGCUAGAUGGUGGGGUAAAGGCCUACCAUGGCGACGAUCUGUAGCUGGUCUGAGAGGAUGAUCAGCCACACCGGGACUGAGACACGGCCCGGACUCCUACGGGAGGCAGCAGUGGGGAAUAUUGGACAAUGGGGGAAACCCUGAUCCAGCCAUGCCGCGUGUGUGAAGAAGGCCUUUUGGUUGUAAAGCACUUUAAGCAGUGAAGAAGACUCUUCGGUUAAUACCCGGAGACGAUGACAUUAGCUGCAGAAUAAGCACCGGCUAACUCUGUGCCAGCAGCCGCGGUAAUACAGAGGGUGCAAGCGUUAAUCGGAAUUACUGGGCGUAAAGGGAGCGUAGGUGGCUCUAUAAGUCAGAUGUGAAAUCCCCGGGCUUAACCUGGGAACUGCAUCUGAAACUGUAGAGCUAGAGUAUGUGAGAGGGAGGUAGAAUUUCAGGUGUAGCGGUGAAAUGCGUAGAGAUCUGAAGGAAUACCGAUGGCGAAGGCAGCCUCCUGGCAUAAUACUGACACUGAGGCUCGAAAGCGUGGGUAGCAAACAGGAUUAGAUACCCUGGUAGUCCACGCCGUAAACGAUGUCUACUAGUCGUUGGGUCCCUUGAGGACUUAGUGACGCAGCUAACGCAAUAAGUAGACCGCCUGGGGAGUACGGCCGCAAGGUUAAAACUCAAAUGAAUUGACGGGGGCCCGCACAAGCGGUGGAGCAUGUGGUUUAAUUCGAUGCAACGCGAAGAACCUUACCUGGUCUUGACAUAUCUAGAAUCCUGCAGAG
This 891-nucleotide ribosomal RNA is filed under the name Psychrobacter sp. RNAcentral describes it as "bacterial SSU rRNA". It matches the Rfam family "Bacterial small subunit ribosomal RNA", at positions 116 to 1005 of the family's 1533-position model. Lineage: Bacteria; Pseudomonadati; Pseudomonadota; Gammaproteobacteria; Moraxellales; Moraxellaceae. The record is from RNAcentral.